Molecule: unclassified non-coding RNA, 378 nt
Filed under: uncultured Oligoflexales bacterium
Lineage: Bacteria; Pseudomonadati; Bdellovibrionota; Oligoflexia; Oligoflexales
Description: contains 16S-23S intergenic spacer region
Source: RNAcentral
UCCGGUUUAACACCGGCAGUCUCCAUAGAGUGCCCAACUGAAUGAUGGCAACUAGGGAUAAGGGUUGCGCUCGUUAAGGGACUUAACCCGACAUCUCACGAUACGAGCUGACGACAGCCAUGCAGCACCUAAACUACAAGUCCCUUGCGGGAAGACCGUACUUCUACGGUUGUCUUGUAUUGUCUAGCCCAGGUAAGGUUCUUCGCGUUGCAUCGAAUUAAACCACAUGCUCCACCGCUUGUGCGGGCCCCCGUCAAUUCCUUUGAGUUUUAACCUUGCGGCCGUACUUCCCAGGCGGGGUACUUAAUGCGUUAGCUUCGGCACUGCAGGGGUCAAUUCCCGCAACACCUAGUACCCAUCGUUUACGGCGUGGACUAC